This 421-nucleotide ribosomal RNA is filed under the name uncultured bacterium. Its description in RNAcentral is "bacterial SSU rRNA". It matches the Rfam family "Bacterial small subunit ribosomal RNA", at positions 355 to 774 of the family's 1533-position model. The record is from RNAcentral.
UAAGGAAUAUUGGUCAAUGGACGCAAGUCUGAACCAGCCAUGCCGCGUGAAGGAUGAAGGUCCUCUGGAUUGUAAACUUCUUUUAUCUGGGACGAAAACGGGAUUUUUAUCUCAAUUGACGGUACCAGAGGAAUAAGCACCGGCUAACUCCGUGCCAGCAGCCGCGGUAAUACGGAGGGCGCGAGCGUUAUCCGGAUUUACUGGGCGUAAAGGGCGCGUAGGCGGCGCGGUAAGUCACUUGUGAAAUCUCUGAGCCUAACUCAGAACGGCCAAGUGAUACUGCUGUGCUAGAGUGCGGAAGAGGCAACCGGAAUUCUUGGUGUAGCGGUGAAAUGCGUAGAUAUCAAGAGGAACACCUGAGGCGAAGGCGGGUUGCUGAGCCGACACUGACGCUGAUGCGCGAAAGCCAGGGGGGCAAACG